UACGUAGGGUGCAAGCGUUGUCCGGAAUUAUUGGGCGUAAAGAGCUCGUAGGCGGUUUGUCGCGUCUGCUGUGAAAACCCGAGGCUCAACCUCGGGCCUGCAGUGGGUACGGGCAAACUAGAGUGCGGUAGGGGAGAAUGGAAUUCCUGGUGUAGCGGUGGAAUGCGCAGAUAUCAGGAGGAACACCGAUGGCGAAGGCAGUUCUCUGGGCCUUACCUGACACUGAGGAGCGAAAGCGUGGGGAGCGAACAGG
This 253-nucleotide ribosomal RNA is filed under the name uncultured bacterium. RNAcentral's name for it is "partial 16S ribosomal RNA". It matches the Rfam family "Bacterial small subunit ribosomal RNA", at positions 524 to 776 of the family's 1533-position model. The record is from RNAcentral.